RNA transcript from Prionailurus viverrinus (fishing cat), 4237 nucleotides. It is a transcript of the gene named KIAA1586 ortholog, with no coding region annotated. NCBI's taxonomy places the organism in Eukaryota, Metazoa, Chordata, Mammalia, Carnivora, Felidae. The record is from RefSeq and is a predicted model, not a curated record. The transcript has 6 exons.
AAUGAAAUAGCCCUUCCAUGGCUGGUCACUGACACACAGAGAGCAAGCCACAUAUCAAACCAAGUGCAAGGCUACAGGUAAGAGGGUUCUGGGCCAACAAUUAGUAUGUAUGUUAAUUUUGUAGUUUUUAAGUUAACAGGACUCUGGGUCCAAAUUGUAGUCCAGACAUGACGUUGAACUCUUACACACAGCCCUAAUUGGCUUUGAACCUAUCAAAAUACUGUUUCAUUUAAAUUUCAUCUACCUCUACCUUCCUAAAAAUUUCCUAAUUACUCUAUUGCUUUGUCUUGUGAGAUGCCUUAGUUCCUCUGCUGUGUGAUCUCACGCAUUGUAGACCACUGUCAAAAUCAUAAAGGGGAUUUUGUGGGACCACAGAUAGGUUAGGUGAUCUUGGUCUGAUAGGGCUAGGAGGAAAAGCUUUAAAGUAUAUUCUCAGUUAACACAUGUUUUCAUAAACUGUAUCUGUUCACAUUCGUUAAUGUGUAAAUACUGAAAAGAAAAAAGUUGGCCACUAUUUAGUAAGGAAGUAUCUGAGCAAACAACGAAAGAGCAUUUUAACACUACUGAUCUAAAUUAUCUAGAACGAUAUUUGUAUUGAAAGAGGAGGAGGAGAAGAAAAAAAUUAAAAAGUAGAAGAAAGGUGGGGAGAGGGAGACAGAUUAAGAAAGAAAAGCCAUCUAUUAAUACUACCUUGGUACCGUAAAAGCCUAGAGGAACGCAACCGCCACAUCUCAGAGUUCCUUUCCACUUUUCAAAUAUACGCGGGACGGUCUCGGGCGGCACUAGAACUACAACUCCCAGGUUCCUGCGCGGCGCGGAGAAGGCAGGCCGGGACUGUGCGAAAGAGACUCCGGGGAUAGCGGGCCACAGCCGGCCGCUCCUCCUUUUGAAGCGGUUUCGCACCUCUUUCCGCCCGCGGCGUCGGUGGCGUCGGCGGCGUCGGCGCUCACGCAGGGGCGGGUCACGGCGGCGCGAAGCGGUGCUGGGCGGGAAGGGAAGUCGUGGCGGCGGUGGCGGCGGGGACCGCAGCAGCGGUGGUGCUGUCAGUUAGGCCGUCGGAGAAAUGGGAGACCCGGGGUCGGAGACAAUAGAAUCUGUCCCUCCAGCUGGGCCCGAGGCAUCUGAGUCAACAACGGAUGAAAAUGAAGAUGACAUUCAGUUUGUUAGUGAAGGACCAUCAAAACCUGUUCUUGAAUACACUGAUCUGGUCUGUGGUGAUGAUGAAGAGCGUAGCAUCUAUCAUAGUGAUAUUCUGUUCCCUAAAAUGCCAAAACGACAGGGAGAUUUUUUGCAUUUUUUAAAUGUGAAGAAGGUGAAAACAGACACAGAAAGAAAUGAUAACAGAAAUCAUUGUGGACUGUCCAAGUCAGAGGAAUCAAAUUUCAAAUAUGUUGAAAAACCAGUCAUUGAAGAAAAUCCAUCAUGUUCAUCAAAGGAAGAAACAGAUAAUCUUGUGCUUCCAGAUUGUUGGAAUGAAAAACAAGCAUUUAUGUUUACAGAACAGUACAAAUGGCUUGAAAUAAAAGAAGUUUAGACAUGAAUAUGAACACAUUUUUAAAUUUAAAAUGAAGGCAUACUGAAAAAGAAGUAGAGAUGCAGAAGCUAGUACUACAACUGGAACAGUAAACAAGCUGGAAGAAGGUGAGUGCAUGGAUGGUGGAGGGGCCAGGGUUCCCUGCCAGGCGUCAGACCGUUCAGAAGCCCUCUCUUCGCAGUCACAGAGACCACAGAUUCCAGCCAGCAUGGCUCCUCUGACAAGAUAUUGUGUAGCCCUCCUCCCUUUGGUCCUCUGACCCAAGCUGAGUCUGAAAGGAUUUCUGUUCCCAGCCCUGCAUUCCCAGGCCCUUCACCAGCAGCAGCAAACAGGACAGAGCCCUUGCACUUACCGAUGAGCCCUUGACCUUCAUGGAGUAAGAUUCUGCUGGAUCUUUCUGAGAUGUGCUGUUAGGAGCCCUCUCAGAGAGAUACUCUGUGCAUUUUCUCUGCAUCCCAACUUGUGACUUCUGCUGAAGCUCAGCUUACGUUACCCCUCAGUUAUUAGAUUUAUAGGCUAUAGCAUUUGCAUUUCUGGAUGAGUUUCUCCUUUCAGGAAGUAUGCUUUGCUGCUACUUUCUGAGGCCUGCUACUCAUGAGGUCCCUUGAUGUUCUCUUUGCAUUUUCUGUUUAAUUUUAUUAUUUUUUCAACAUUUAUUUAUUUUUGAGAAAGAGUGCAAGUGAUGGGAGGGGCAAAGAGAAGAGGGCAGAGGAUCCAGAGCGGGCUCUGCUCUGACUGACAGCGGAGAACCCAGUGCAGGGCUCGAACCCAUGAACUGCCAGACCAUGACCCAAAGUCAAGACGCUCAACUGACUGAGCCACCCAGGCACCCCUCUAUUUAAUUUUAAUUGGUUUUCUUUUGGGUUCCACAGAUUUUGUCUGACACCUCUUUGCUGAAAAAGUGGGGCAAUAUUUUUUUAAUCCUCUUUCAUUUUGUUGUUUCUAAUUUUUUCUUGUUGCUUUGAUUUCUCAGGAGGAGAAAGAAAGUUAGGUUACCAAUGUGUUCAUACCAUAGAGUUACAUCCAGUUAUAUCCAGUGUUCAGAAGCCUAAUGCAACUCUGAUUCUCAUUCUUUUAUUCAGAACCUGUUUCCUCAUACUCCUUAAGGUUCUUUUUGUCUUCUCUUAUAUACUAGAACUGGAUGAAAAUGUGCCUGUUGUGUAUCUUUUCAUAUGCAUUGUUUGGGGCACAUGAUGGACCAUUUAAAUCUGGAUACUUGCAUUUCUUCAAUUCUGGGAAAAUUUAUUACUUAUUAUAUAAUUUUUAAAGUUCUCCUCCCCAUUUUUCAUUUUAUCUCUCUCUGGAAUUCCAGUUGUCCUAGAAGUCCAAUCAUUAUGGACUGAAUCUCUAGGUCUCCUAUCAUUUCUGUACAAUUUUUCUUUUAAGUCUCAGCUUUUUUUAAAUCUCAGCUGGGAGAUUUCUUGGCUAUAUAACUUGAACGUGUCAAAACUCUAAUUUUUUUUUUUUUUAAUGUUUAUUUAUUUUUGAGACAGAGAGAGACAGAGCAUGAAUGGGGGAGGGUCAGAGAGAGAGGGAGACACAGAAUCUGAAACAGGCUCCAGCCUCUGAGCUGUCAGCACAGAGCCCGACGCGGGGCUCGAACUCAUGGACCGUGAGAUCAUGACCUGAGCCGAAGUCGGCCGCUUAACCGACUGAGCCACCCAGGCGCCCUAAAACUCUAAUUUUUAAGACCUGUUUUUUAUUCUCUGAUAAGUUUCUUUUUUAUUAAAAUACUUUAUUUCUGGAUUUCCUUUAGCCUUAUGAAAAAAAUUUAAUAAAUUAUUUUGUAGGCAUUGUGUUUCACUCAAGACCCCUUUUCCUCAUUAUCUUAAAUUUACUUUUCUUUUCCAAGGCCUUUCUGUUUGAAUCCUGGAUGUUCUUUCAUAUUUAAUCUGUUACCUGGGUAGCUUCACUUAUGAGUCACUGGAUAGAAAGCCAUUUGUUUGGGGGGGGGGGCAUCCUUCAUAUCAGUUUGAUACUGAAUCUUGUGGUUGGUGUUGAAUUGCUCUCCAGAUCUUCUGGUACUCCUGGCUGAUAAUAUUUUACAUACAAGACAGAGAAAAGGGACUGGAAGUAACAGUGUUUCAAUGACAGACUUUGUGUGAAUUCCCUUUUCAGUUCUCACUCAUGCCCACAACUAUACCCAGUGCCUUGGGCCCUGAAUGUCUGCUUUUGACUAAGUGCAGAAAAUGUCUUCUGAAUAGAUAGGUGGAGAUGUGUAGGAGGAGAGAUUUAUAGUUCCUGUAUGCAGUCUCUCAAACUCUCUUUGAUAUGUGGAACCUUAUCCCCAUUAUCCAUUAUAUCUGGUAUCAAUUAUGAGCCCCUCCUGGGUUUUCUGGGGCAAACUGGUUUGCUUCCUCUUCCCUUGAAGUAAGUUACUACUCUAUUUUCUGUCUCCCAUAGUUUUCUCAACUGUCUAAUGGAAACAAUAUCAGAUAAUCCCUCAUAAGGUUGUUGUAUGAGUCAAAUGAAGUUACGUAUGUAAUAUGCCUAACAGAGCACCGAACUUGAAGUAAUCAUUCUACAAAUGGCAGUUAUUAGUGUUAUAAAACCUCUCAAAAUCCCAGACAGUCCUAUUCAUAUUAAUUCCCUAAACAGUAGUGCCCAAAAAAUCUCUGUUGGUGUUUUUGUGGACUUAAUAAUUUCUGUAUAUUCAUCUAAGGAAUAAAAUUGGAAGAGAAGUAAAAUAAAUUCAUGCUUUAA